RNAcentral lists this long non-coding RNA (1053 nucleotides) under Homo sapiens (human). RNAcentral describes it as "HSALNT0388598". The record is from RNAcentral. Lineage: Eukaryota; Metazoa; Chordata; Mammalia; Primates; Hominidae.
GCCGACUUUGGGUGUAGUGCCUGUGAGUUAGCCCUGCUCCACAGGGAGCAAAAAAGGCAGGAGAAGUUAAGGAAGGGUCACAGUGCAAAGCAGGACACCUCAACUUCUUGGACUCUUGAAAGACCCUUGACAUGCCCCAUUUUGAACUUCAUCCAAAUGGCUGCUGAAUGGUUUUUAGAUAGGAAUUACAUUUGAGCUGAUGUGUCCCUAGUGGUGACAGAGAAUAACAUUAAUGGAUGGGGAUGGUUCUGAGUGAAUAUGAGGAGCUUAUUUUAUGAGAGAAAAACACAAGACUUUAGUAGUUUAACAGACAUCACCUAUUCACAGGAACUUAGUUCAGAAUAGAAUUUUGAAUUGAAGGUAGAGGUUCUAAUAUGGUCCCACAAGGAACAUUUUUUUUUUUUUCCUGGCUGAAGGAACUUCAGUUUCUGAAGUACAAACUGUUCUGAUAAUAUCUAGAAGAACUUUCAUAAGAUAUGCGCCAAACAUUACAGAUUGUACCCACAUUCCUUAUCUACUCCUUCCUUUAUUAUUUUACUCAGAGAUAUGGGCAUCUGGGUUACAGAUCACAUUUCCCAGCCUCCCUUGCAGUUAGAAGUGACCAUGUGACUAAAUUCUAGCCAAUAGGAUACAGUGGAAGUGAUCUGCAACUUCUGAAGAGAGUCUCUCAAGAGUGACUUACUAUACAUGUUGAAGUGCUCUGAUGGAAGGAACAGAAACCUCUGAAAGGAAGCCGUCAAAGUAGGAACUGCCAACAAAAAUGUGUUAUAUGAGUCUACACUGUGAUGAAAUGGGGAGUGAUUGAGGAUUGGGGCCUAAUAAAAAGCACCUGUCUGGAAGCCAUGGCACCUGAUGUUUCUGAGGUGUCACAGGAAUAGAGUAGAAUCACGAAAAGAGAGAGAACCUCCUCGCAUCCGGCAGCACACCUAACGUUCAUUGGCACAGUGGCCUCAUCAGCACCUCUGACGUGAUCUAACUAUCCCUGUCUUCUUGUUUCCUUCAAGUCCUUCUGGAAUCUCCUUUCUAAGAUGGGAGUAAAGAUACAAAGGAAAU